This 253-nucleotide ribosomal RNA is filed under the name uncultured bacterium. RNAcentral's name for it is "partial 16S ribosomal RNA". It matches the Rfam family "Bacterial small subunit ribosomal RNA", at positions 524 to 776 of the family's 1533-position model. The record is from RNAcentral.
UACGUAGGGACCGAGCGUUGUCCGGAUUCAUUGGGCGUAAAGAGCUCGUAGGCGGCCACUCAAGUCGAAUGUGAAACCUCGAGGCUUAACCUCGAGCCUGCAUUCGAUACUGGGCGGCUAGAGUCUGGUAGGGGGAUCUGGAAUUCCUGGUGUAGCGGUGGAAUGCGCAGAUAUCAGGAGGAACACCGGUGGCGAAAGCGGGAUCCUGGGCCAGUACUGACGCUGAGGAGCGAAAGCGUGGGGAGCAAACAGG